Non-coding RNA from Stereum hirsutum FP-91666 SS1, 96 nucleotides. The record is from the annotation of a RefSeq genome assembly. Lineage: Eukaryota; Fungi; Basidiomycota; Agaricomycetes; Russulales; Stereaceae.
UCCCUGGUAGUAUAUCGGAUUAGUACACGCGCCUGUCAUCGUUACGAGCGUAAAUCUUGUGCGCGCGAGAGCGGGGUUCGACUCCCCGCCAGGGAG